Molecule: unclassified non-coding RNA, 148 nt
Organism: Pongo abelii (Sumatran orangutan)
Lineage: Eukaryota; Metazoa; Chordata; Mammalia; Primates; Hominidae
Rfam family: Metazoan signal recognition particle RNA
About the family: The signal recognition particle (SRP) is a universally conserved ribonucleoprotein. It is involved in the co-translational targeting of proteins to membranes.
Source: Ensembl
GCCGGGUGUGGUGGCGCACACCUGUAGUCCCAGCUACUCGGGAGGCUGAGGCAGGAGAAUCACUGGAACCGGGGAUGCCAAGGUUGCAGUGAGCUGAGAUUGCACCACUGCACUCCAGCCUGGGUGACAGAGUGAGACUCAGUCUCAA